This 381-nucleotide ribosomal RNA is filed under the name Spirotrichea sp. Its description in RNAcentral is "partial small subunit ribosomal RNA". It matches the Rfam family "Eukaryotic small subunit ribosomal RNA", at positions 582 to 975 of the family's 1831-position model. Lineage: Eukaryota; Ciliophora; Spirotrichea. The record is from RNAcentral.
AUUCCAGCUCCAAUAGCGUAUAUUAAAGUUGUUGCAGUUAAAAAGCUCGUAGUUGGAUUUCUGGGAGGGUGCCAAUGUCCGCCGAGUGCGUGCGCAGCGGCGCCCUUCCAUCCUUCUGUUAACGCCUCUUGGCAUUCAUUUGCUGGUGGCGGGCUCAGAUAUUUUACCUUGAGAAAAUUAGAGUGUUUCAGGCAGGCUAGGCCGGAAUACAUUAGCAUGGAAUAAUGGAAUAGGACUACGGUCUCUUUGUUGGUUUGAGGGACUGCAGUAAUGAUUAAUAGGGAUAGUUGGGGGCAUUAGUAUUUAAUUGUCAGAGGUGGAAUUCUCGGAUUUGUUAAAGACUAACUUAUGCGAAAGCAUUUGCCAAGGAUGUUUUCAUCG